ACUAGACUCUCCAAAUUGGAAAGAUAACAUAUUAAAAACACGGUUUAUGUUAGGUUGUCGCCAUUGCCAGCACGAGGUUUCCAUUUCAGGGAACAUUUGAACCCAUCUCUUCCAUUUUUCUUCUUUUCUUUUUCCAAUUUCCGGGUUCCCACAAUCCGGUUCUUAGUCUGGAGAUUAGCGAGUCAACUCUAGUAGUGGUCUGGUUCAAGUUCAAGAGAAGAUUUUGAGAUUUUGGGAAGCUACCAAGGCUGUAAUUGUUACAUCGGGAGAGAGAAAUUCAAAGAAAUUAGUGAUUUAUUGAAGACAUACCCGAAUAUAGGCUUCAGACCUGAACGGCUGCUUAGACUUGACCCGAUUUUAUUCAGUCCUUAAUGCGCCCGAUUCACUUCUGCCCGUUUGACCUGCGUUUUGCCCACCCAACCUAGCUGGCUUCCUAUGUUCUCUUGCGCGCGACCCACUUCAACGUUCGGCCCUUCUCACGUGCGCGUUUGGCCUAGCCCGCGCGCCUAUCCGGAUCGUCCUGCGCCCUGUUCCGUCUGAUGACCCGCAUACCGACCCGGGUUUGACCCAUUGCACCCAACUUGCAUGCCUGAUGGUCUGGCUUGGUAGUUUUGGGCCGGUUCAUGGGUUUUAGGUUGGUUAAGUGUUGUUUCAGAGGAUUUCCAACCGGUUCAAGUUGUUCAAGAGCGGUUUAUGUACUCCAUCAAAUUAUUGUUAUAAUAAUUUAAUUUGUAACUUAAUUUAGGGGUUAAA
Molecule: long non-coding RNA, 753 nt
Organism: Cucumis melo (muskmelon)
Lineage: Eukaryota; Viridiplantae; Streptophyta; Magnoliopsida; Cucurbitales; Cucurbitaceae
Exons: 3
Source: RefSeq, a predicted model, not a curated record